RNAcentral lists this long non-coding RNA (508 nucleotides) under Pan troglodytes (chimpanzee). RNAcentral describes it as "lncRNA (ENSPTRG00000053478.1)". The record is from RNAcentral. Lineage: Eukaryota; Metazoa; Chordata; Mammalia; Primates; Hominidae.
AUACUAAGAGAGUGAGAGCCUUCAGAUUUGGGUGAGUGAUGCCAUUAGAACCAAGAUUUCUUCCAUUCUUCUGCUCUAUCAUUCUCAGCACAACAUGCUUUUCUCAUUAAGAAUAUCUUGUGUGGAAGUGAGCAGCUUCACUCUUGAAUGGCAGAUACCCCAUCUAAAUACCAAGAAUCAUGCUACUUAUUCAAGGUUAUAAACAGAGGAAGGUCAUCAAGAGUGGAAGUGUCAUAUCCUGGAGGAAGAGGCAAGCUAGUUUCCUUGUCAUUGUAUUUGGACUCCUCAAAGUGAAACAUGGCCGCUGUGGUUCGUCUUCUGCCUGGGAACUGGAUAAAAACAUCAGUGAAUACCCCAAAGGGAUAUCCAGGGUACCAGGAAAAAAAAAAUACGUUCCUAGAGAUUUUCAAAAAUGCUUGUUGAUAAAAUGAAGUCAGAAUGUGAGAUGAGGUGAGUGUUUAUUAGCAUUGAGUAAAAGGCUUCAGAAGGCCUAAAGAAGGCUGUACUA